CCUACGGGAGGCAGCAGUAGGGAAUAUUGCUCAAUGGGGGAAACCCUGAAGCAGCAACGCCGCGUGGAGGAUGAAGGUUUUAGGAUUGUAAACUCCUUUUGUUAGAGAAGAUUAUGACGGUAUCUAACGAAUAAGCACCGGCUAACUCCGUGCCAGCAGCCGCGGUAAUACGGAGGGUGCAAGCGUUACUCGGAAUCACUGGGCGUAAAGAGUGCGUAGGCGGGGUAAUAAGUCAGAUGUGAAAUCCUGUAGCUUAACUACAGAACUGCAUUUGAAACUGUUACUCUGGAGUGUGGGAGAGGUAGGUGGAAUUCUUGGUGUAGGAGUGAAAUCCGUAGAUAUUAGAAGGAACACCAAUAGCGUAGGCAGGUUGCUGGGACGGUUCUGACACUAAGGCACGAAAGCGUAGGGAGCAAACGGGAUUAGAUACCCGGGUAGUC
Molecule: ribosomal RNA, 440 nt
Filed under: uncultured bacterium
Lineage: Bacteria
Description: partial 16S ribosomal RNA
Rfam family: Bacterial small subunit ribosomal RNA
Source: RNAcentral